GACGAACGCUGGCGGCGUGCUUAACACAUGCAAGUCGUACGGUAAGGCCCUUUCGGGGGUACACGAGUGGCGAACGGGUGAGUAACACGUGAGUAACCUGCCCACAACUUUGGGAUAACGCUAGGAAACUGGUGCUAAUACUGGAUAUGUGCCCCUGCUGCAUGGUGGGGGUUGGAAAGCUCCGGCGGUUGUGGAUGGACUCGCGGCCUAUCAGCUUGUUGGUGGGGUAGUGGCCUACCAAGGCGGCGACGGGUAGCCGGCCUGAGAGGGUGACCGGCCACAUUGGGACUGAGAUACGGCCCAGACUCCUACGGGAGGCAGCAGUGGGGAAUAUUGCACAAGGGGCGCAAGCCUGAUGCAGCAACGCCGCGUGCGGGAUGACGGCCUUCGGGUUGUAAACCGCUUUCAGCAGGGACGAAGCUUUUUGUGACGGUACCUGCAGAAGAAGCACCGGCUAACUACGUG
RNAcentral lists this ribosomal RNA (465 nucleotides) under uncultured bacterium. RNAcentral describes it as "partial 16S ribosomal RNA". It matches the Rfam family "Bacterial small subunit ribosomal RNA", at positions 28 to 507 of the family's 1533-position model. The record is from RNAcentral.